RNAcentral lists this microRNA precursor (200 nucleotides) under Oryza sativa Indica Group (long-grained rice). RNAcentral describes it as "MIR1435 microRNA precursor family". It matches the Rfam family "MIR1435 microRNA precursor family". The record is from Rfam by way of RNAcentral. Lineage: Eukaryota; Viridiplantae; Streptophyta; Magnoliopsida; Poales; Poaceae.
UGACUUUGGUCAAAGUCAAAUUGCUUCAAGUUUGACCAAGUUUAUAGACAAACCUAGUUAUAUUUUCAACCCAAGAUAACUCCAUUAUACAAAUAUAUUUAAUUAUUAAUUUAAUAAAACUAAUUUGGUAAUGUAAAUAUUACUUUAUUUGUCUAUAAACUUAGUCAAACUUGAAGCAGCUUGACUUUGACCAAAGUCAA